UACAGAGGUUGCAAACGUUGUUCGGAAUUACUGGGCAUAAAGCGCACGUAGGUGGUCCGCUAAGUCGGAUGUGAAAUUCCCCGGCUCAACCGGGGAACGGCAAUCGAUACUGGCGGGCUUGAGGUCCGGAGGGGUGAGUGGAACUCCUGGUGGAGCGGUGAAAUGCGUAGAUAUCAGGAGGAACACCAGUGGCGAAAGCGGCUCACUGGCCGGAAUCUGACACUGAGGUGCGAAAGCUAGGGUAGCAAACGGG
This 253-nucleotide ribosomal RNA is filed under the name uncultured bacterium. RNAcentral describes it as "partial 16S ribosomal RNA". It matches the Rfam family "Bacterial small subunit ribosomal RNA", at positions 524 to 776 of the family's 1533-position model. The record is from RNAcentral.